AAGAUUCAACUCAAACUGCAAUUAAAAAUUAAAUCGUCAUCCCCAACCUUAGUGUUACAAUAUCAGAGCUCGUAGUGACUACAUGCUUAUUCAACUACUAAUAACAGAACUAAACGGAGGGCAUCCCCUCAUCUCCACCUUCUAAAACGUCUCAUAGCUACUGCUUGUCAACCUGGACAUCUGUACUCAAGGUACAUCAACCAUACAGAAAACAACACGACAAAAUAAGGGGUGAUAAAUCCUGACAUAACAUAAUAAUAGGGAAAAGCACGCAUGUUAAAUAAAUAACAAAAUAAAAUAAUCCCACCAUAUCUUCACUCUCAACAGUUAUUACGCAUAAUCUCUUCUUUUCACAGAUCACAACAACACAUCACCUUCACACUUACAACCACCAAACACAAAAAAUAAUCAUAUAUAGAUGCAUAUGAACUCUCCUAUCGGACCUAUAUGAAUGUGGUACAACGCCUACUCGUUAUUUUUCCAGAGUUAUGUUACUGGACUUUCACUGCAUAAUUUUCCAGAGGUAUUUUACUGGACGUUCAGUACAUAACAAUGCAAGACAUCAUGCUAUAGACUCUACAUGAAUGCAUAAAAAUAAAUUCGACAAGUAAAACAAGUAUACACAUAUUCAAAUAAUUCACAUAUUAAUGCAAGACUCACUAAAAUGCACAACUCUAAUGCAAGCACAUAAAUCAUCAUCAUCAUACUCAUCAUCAUCACAUAUCACUCUCGUCAUCAUUAUAUACAUCACUCUCAUCAUCAUUAUCAUAGAUAAACAUCAUCACUCUCACCGUCAUAAUGAUAUAGUUGCCGUCAUCCUCAUCAUCACUAAAAUAUAAAUAUUAUCAUCCUCAUCUUCAUCAUAAUUUAAUCAUCAUCACUCUCAUUCUCUUCAUUAAACCAACCCUUACGCGUGACUCAUUUCUACAUCAACAUCCCACUAUUUUAUUUUAUUAUUCAUCUUACAUACAUACUCUAUCUCAUCAUCUAGGCUUUCUAUAUACUUUACUACUAAUAGCAUAACCUAUAACUCAUUCUUACUCUCAAGAUGUAUUCUUAUUCAUUAUCAUUACCUGUAAUGUCUCCUCUCUAUACAACUAGGUUCUUCCACACCAUCGUCAUUAACGCUUUCGUAAUUAUUCUUCUCAUUUAAAACGACUUUAAAUCUUAUUUCCUUGUUCUCACAUUUGUCGUCAUCUAUACAUCGACUAUUCUCCUAAUCUUAACUUAAUCCUAAUUUGAAGUUAUUAUCUCACUUUAUCAGUACUUUCGGCUUCAGAAACUUUCUUCACUAAGACUUCAGUAUAAUUCAAGAUUUUAUUUUUUCAAUACCGGUUGUUAUUAUUAUCGUCAAACAUUAUAACUAUUACCGCUUAUCCUCUUUCCUACUCAUCUUGCUCUCUUCUAAUUGUUUUCCGUUCUUUUCAUCGCUAUUAUCAUUCCCAUUGUCUUUCAUUACCUAAUUCACAACUCCCUAUCUUUAUUUACAUAUCGUCUACGAUCAUCUAACUCGACUACACUAUAAUCUUUAUUUGUUUUUACACUUUAAACGUUCCUUUAUAACAUUCGCCUUAAGUUAUUUAAUUACCUUGUCUCUUUCACUCUCCAAUUAUCAAUACUCUUAAGCUCAUUAUUUUUCACGUCCUAUUUUCAAGUCAUCUUUUAACAUCUUUAAAAUUCACUUAGAUCACUAUCACUGGUUUAUGUUUUAGACUUGCUAUUAUCCUGAGGUAAUCACUUCUAUUUAUGCCUGAUAACACUCCCUCAUUUAGAUGUAAAGCUUAAGGACCCUCACCUGUAUUUUACACGCUAAUGUAUUUCUUAAAAUCACUAAUACUAUCAUGGAUGGUUUAGAGUCCACUAGAACGGUGGUGUUGAAACUUCAUGAAAACGCAUUAUGACCCACGUGCGACAUUUUAAUCAUAACUCAACUUAGGAAUGUCUGAAUAAGGUCAAAACAAAGCUAAAGGAAAUAUAACACCCAUAUCUACAAUUUUCAUUAAGGAACCUAAAUCCAAUUCGAUACAGAGAGGGGUGCAAAGGUUGGUUUUCCUAAAACUAGGUAGAGUGCACGACCGUGCUGACCUCUGUGUAUUAUUUUGACUAUAACUCAAGUUUUUGACGUCCUAUUGGAGUCAAUCUAAAGCCACAUGAAAGAUAAUAUCCAUAUAUACAACUUUCAUGUUUACAUCGAAACCUAGUUCAAAACAUAAAAUAGUUGAAAGUUGGAUUUCCUCAGCCUCAGAAAAGAGCAUGACCCUGCUGACCCAUGUGUAGUAUUUUGAACAUAUCUUGAGUUCUAGAUGUUAGAAUGACGUCAAACCAAUUUCAAAUUAAAUCUGACAUUCAUAUCUACAACUUUGAUGAAGACACCAAAUCCUAAUUCAGAACCGAAAAUUCCCAGUUUUGUUUUUGUUUUUGGUUACAUAAAUCACAUAUUUUCUGUGAUUUUGUAUGUGCGAUUUAGCCUUAAGGAACCUUUCCUAACUCCAUUUUCGACCCUAAACUUGCCAAACUCGACCCUAAUCUUUAAUCCAUGAUUACCCUAUCAUUCAAACACUAAUUCUUCGUUAACCUACCAGAUUAUCCACUCUUUUCUAAAAUUCAAUUCAAAAACAUAAACUGGUUUUCCUCAAUUCUCAUCUUUCAAUUUGUUCAUCAUCAUUCUCUCAUCAAAAUUCACAUCAUAAUAGCAACAACAUAUUAAAAUUUAAGACAACCCUCCCAUAAUAGAUUAAGAUACCCUAAAGUGCAAAGAUUAUCCCCCUUACCUCGAAUCUGUAGAAACCUUCAGUUUGGCUUGAUGUUGCUACACGAGGGUUCUGCUUCUCUCCCUUUGCUUCUCUUCUCCCUUUU
RNAcentral lists this long non-coding RNA (2856 nucleotides) under Medicago truncatula (barrel medic). RNAcentral's name for it is "long non-coding RNA (MTRU_LNC001634)". Lineage: Eukaryota; Viridiplantae; Streptophyta; Magnoliopsida; Fabales; Fabaceae. The record is from RNAcentral.